UUGAUUGGAUGUUGUAAUUGAUGAGUGGGUGUGUUACAUUAUCAAUUCUCAAACAAAAUUAUUUACAUCAACAAGUUUGAACAAAUUGUUUAAAAACAUUAGCUCCUAUUUUCUUACCAAAACUUAAGCAUUCUCUGUCACAUAACUUUGAGCAUCGAUAUAAUUAUUCCACAAAUCCGUCACCAUUGUAGUAACCAUCUCCACCGCACCCUCCACCACCGUCGGAAUCUCUUCCGUCAACCCUUGGAACGCAGACCGCGUCUUCUCCACCAACCCUCCUGCAGCCGCCCCGGUUGCAGCCACAGACCCAAAAACACUCUCUUUCACAAGAUCAAAAACAAAGCCAAUAAUUUCACUUAUUACCUCCAAAAAAAGCUCAAAAAGGUACUCGACACAACUUCGAAUAAAGCCACCAAAUUGCUCCAUUGCAGACUGUAGGGCUUCUCCCGGGACCUUUAAUCCUUGGAUCGCGAUCACGAGGAGGUAGGCCGUGAAGGUGAAGAGCAAACGAGAGAGGAUGUUUGAGAUGAGGGUUAUGGAGGAGAAGAUGAGGUUGAUGAGUAUGAGUAGUGCCAUUGAUGAAAGGUUAUAGAAUAGAGAGAAAUGAAGAAGGUUAUAAGAUGGAAGAGAUAUGGAAAUUUGGUUUUAAAGAAUAUUGAAGGCAUUAGUUGGGCUUGAGAUUGACUUCAUGGAAAUUGUUUAAAUGUUAGUUGAAAAUUGAAAUGGUGUUUGAUGAUGUAUUCAUGAGGAGUAUUAUAUGG
RNAcentral lists this long non-coding RNA (761 nucleotides) under Helianthus annuus (common sunflower). Lineage: Eukaryota; Viridiplantae; Streptophyta; Magnoliopsida; Asterales; Asteraceae. The record is from RNAcentral.